AACGUAGGAGACAAACGUUAUCCGGAGUUACUGGGCGUAAAGGGCGUGCAGGUGGUCUGUUAAGUCUGGCGUGAAAGCUCCUGGCUAAACCGGGAGAGGUCGUUGGAUACUGGCGGACUAGAGGACGGUAGAGGCGUGUGGAAUUCCGGGUGUAGUGGUGAAAUGCGUAGAGAUCCGGAGGAACACCAGUGGCGAAGGCGACUUCCUGGCCUGUUCUUGACGCUGAGGCGCGAAAGCUAGGGUAGCAAACGGG
RNAcentral lists this ribosomal RNA (253 nucleotides) under uncultured bacterium. RNAcentral's name for it is "partial 16S ribosomal RNA". It matches the Rfam family "Bacterial small subunit ribosomal RNA", at positions 524 to 776 of the family's 1533-position model. The record is from RNAcentral.